CUAUGAAUCUGUCAACAUUGAACGGGCAAUCCGGUAUUCCCUCACCUUCGACGGAUUCAGAUAAAAAAUGUAUUGAUUAAUUGAUGUAUCUUAAACCACCUUUCCUCCUGAUUAAACCUUCACCUUGUAUUUCCUCUUCGCUUCCUUCUCUCCAAACUCAAGUUCAAUUUCUCUCUUUUCUUCAUCCACUUCCGCUGUUGGCCCAGCCAACACCACACAAACAGACACAUAUACACGCCCUUCAAUGUCGUGGCUUCCUACGACAAUAACCAACAAAACUUUUGUUCCUCUUCAGUUAAUCAAUCGAUUCUUUGUGUUAUUGGUUUUUAAAUUGGAUAGAUUUGGGUAUUAUGGAUGAAAACCCUAAAUCUCAGAGUCUUCGAAUUUAUAGAAUUGAUGGAUAGGCAUACACUGAUUCAAUGGAUGGAUGAGCUCACAUAGAUUCGAUUGAUGGGAACCACUGAUGGCACCAUCGAGGCGACACAGUCACUACGAAUAAAGCAAAAGGUCCCAACUGCAACAGUUACAUGUCAUCAACUUCCACAUCUUCGAUUGGUUGUUCUACUGAUUAAUACAUCUAUUUAAUCAGGUAUAUUUAUAUUGGGUUUUUUAUGGAUCAGGAGGGUAUUUAUAAUUAACUACGUCAUCGAAGCAUGUAGUCUUGUAAAGAAUGUAAGUCCCGACUUCCUUUUUGUAAAGUUUCUAUUACUUUUUUCUUUUAGUUGUUUUGAAUCCAUCUUAACUUGUUUCUAUUUGGUUUUUUGUUUUGGUAUUGAUAAAAAUAUGUUAAUCCACACCUUAUGUAACCCAGUCAACAUAGGUUUUGCUUAAUGUAGUAAGAUUCAUGUAGAAUUUGGUUGUUUCAAAUGUUCUAAUCCUUUCUGGCGAAACAUGAAUAUGAAUAGAGCCUGAAAAUUAGGUUUAUACAAAAGACGAAAAUGGUGUCAUCAAUGUGUCAAACAUGAAAACACAAAAUAGUCGAGGGAGGUACUGAAUUAUCAAAAGUGGCAGUGAGUAAAUCUUAUUAGAAUGUUAAUGUUACUAAGAUGUUAAUAUGUUUUGCUUAUGCAAUUUAUAUGCAUGUAUGGUGUCUUAAAACCUUGCACAAAAAUGUUGUGUGCUCUUUUUCUAUCAAUUCUAAUUACUUGUAUAUUUAUAUAUAUUUCUUGUGUGGUGUACAUCUCUCUCUCUCUCUCUCUCUCUCUCUCUCUAUAUAUAUAUAUAUAUAUAUAUAUAUAUAUAUAUAUAUAUAUAUAUAUAUAUAUAUAUAUAUAUAUAUAUAUAUAUAUAUAUAUAUGGUUUCGAUUAUUAACACACACAUCCAUACAUCAAAUUUUGCAUUUGUUUUGUUGGCUGGACAGAUCUGAAAAGAUUCAGAUAGCACCACCAUUUUUUCAUUUUCUCAUAUGUGAAAGUUUGUUUUUUCAGGGAAACUUCAAAUUUCCAUAAAAUGUGACAAUAAUGAGUUUAUGGAAUCACUUUCUGAUGAAGUUGGUUGUGAAAGUUUGUUAUAGUAGGAAAGGGAGAAAAAACUAAUUGAAUUCAAAGGAAAAAAAAAGGUAAUUAAGGCAUAUAUGUCUCUUUUUAUAUUUUUUUCUCUAACUGUGUGUGUGUGUGUGUUUAACUGUGUAAGUAUGUAUAUGUUUACAGGUCCUAAAAUGGGUGUUUAAUUAUGUGUGUUUAUAGAUCGUGAAAUGUUGUGUUUAGUAAAGUUUUGAUUUUUAUCGAUUUCAUUAGACAUGUGUAACCCCAUUUGUUCCAUUCAUGUAAUUGGUCACCUAUAUAUUAUCACAUUUUUAUAUUUGAAGGCAUUUGUAGCCCUUUUUUUCAGGUGCUUCUUAAAAUGGAGAAUCAUGGAGGCAAGUGAUGAUUAGAGUCUACAAAACACCAAAUUAUUGAGAUUAAACACUUUUAGGAAAUUUAUUCUUUAUGUUAUUAGAAUCCCAAUUACUUUUAUUGUAUUUCUUUUUUGACUCUUUGAUUUGGUUUGAGACAAGCAAGUGGGAGGGUGAGAUGGGAUGGGGGUGAUGGGGCCAACUGAAUAUUAAUAAAACAAUUGCAGUAGCCAACUUUUGCAGUUAAAAAUGGUUAUGUCAAUGUAAGUUUUAAUUUUGUAAUGUUUUGUUUAAUAAUACGAUAGAGACAGUACUUCUUUGUA
Non-coding RNA from Lactuca sativa (garden lettuce), 2158 nucleotides. The record is from RefSeq and is a predicted model, not a curated record. NCBI's taxonomy places the organism in Eukaryota, Viridiplantae, Streptophyta, Magnoliopsida, Asterales, Asteraceae.